Molecule: long non-coding RNA, 1616 nt
Filed under: Ricinus communis (castor bean)
Lineage: Eukaryota; Viridiplantae; Streptophyta; Magnoliopsida; Malpighiales; Euphorbiaceae
Description: long non-coding RNA (RCOM_LNC002792)
Source: RNAcentral
UUCAUGGCUCCUUUGCUCGCCUGCAAAACGAGUGCCAACUCGACAGGCUCGAUGCCCUCGAACCUGAUAACCGUAUUCAGUGCGAUGCUGGUAUGGUCGAGGUCUGGAAUCCCAACCAUGGUCAGUUCCAAUGCGCUGGUGUGGCUAUGGUUAGGCAUACAAUUGAGCCCCGAGGCCUUGUACUUCCAUCCUACAGCAAUGCCCCUCAGCUCACCUACAUUGUUAAAGGUGAUGAAGAUUGAUUCAUUUCGCUUUCUGUUUUAUUUUAGUUGGUGUCAAAGCUUAUGUUGCACUGCUUGAUUAUUGAUUUCUGCGAACGUAUAUUCAGGUAGGGGUAUGAUUGGGACCUUGUUUCCUGGAUGUGCUGAAACAUUCCAAGAAUCUCAAGAGUCGGGUAGGACACAAGAUCAGCAUCAGAAGAUUCACCAUUUCCGUGAGGGCGAUGUCAUUGCCUUGGCUGCUGGAGUUGCUCACUGGUGCUACAACGAUGGCAAUGAACCCGUUAUAACUGUUACCGUUAUUGACACCACCAACAUUGCCAACCAGCUUGACAUGAAUCCUAGAGUAAGAAAGAGCCAUCUAAAUGUACAUGUAUUAGAAAUAUCCGCAUGCUGCUAUACUUCGGCUCAGUAGUGUUUUACGUAGUUUUUAAAGCUGAGCAGUGAGCAAUAUAAAAUCUAGAAAUGACUGUUUUAGUUACUAUAAUUUCUAGAAUUAUCUCUAGAAGUAAGAUUUACAACUCCAGGCUCAAGUUCAAUUGAUAAGAAUAGCUAAUACAUAAAUUUUCUUGGACUUGUUACAGAACUUCCAUCUGGCUGGUAACCCAGAAAAUGAGUUCCAGAAAUUUCAGCAGGCGGGUGAGCGUGGCCGGAGAGAAUAUUCCCACCAAGGUGGCAAGGGUCAACAAGGCUCUUGCAGAAAUCUCUUCUGUGGAAUUGACACAAGACUCAUCUCCGAAUCAUUCAAUAUUGACGAACAGUUGGCUACGAAGCUUCAAGGCCAAAAUGACUUCAGAGGCAGCAUUGUGAAGGUUGAAGGUGGACUUCGGGUAGUCAGGCCACCAAGGACCGAACAAGAGAGAUUGGAGGAAGAAGAGCAAGGCCAAGGAGGAAGUUACAAUGGUCUAGAGGAAACUUUCUGUACUAUGAGGAUUAAAGAAAACAUUGCUGAUCCCUCACGCGCCGAUGUUUACGUCCCUGAAGUUGGUCGUGUCAGCACCGUCAACAGCAAUAAUCUACGUAUUCUUAGGUUGCUCCAACUCAGCGCUUCCCAUGUCUCUCUCAGCAAUGUAAGUCAAAACACUCGCAACAGUAAUGGCCAGUCAUACAUGAACGAUGUUUAUACUCUGUAACUUCUGAUACAUAAAACAAUUCCUUGGUCAUGGCAGGGUGCUAUUAGAUUACCUCACUGGCACGUAAACGCACACAGCAUAAUCUAUGCAUUGAGGGGUCAAGCUAAGAUUCAGGUGGUGGAUGAAAAUGGCAACAGGGUCUUCGAUGGCAAUGUGAAGGAAGGACAAGUCCUGACAGUGCCACAGAACUUCGUGGUAGUGAAACGAGCAGAGAGUGAUAGAUUUGAAUGUGUUGCCUUCAACACCAACGAUAACGCUGUGGCAU